UACGUAGGUGGCAAGCGUUGUCCGGAAUUAUUGGGCGUAAAGCGCGCGCAGGCGGUCCUUUAAGUCUGAUGUGAAAGCCCACGGCUCAACCGUGGAGGGUCAUUGGAAACUGGGGGACUUGAGUACAGAAGAGAAGAGUGGAAUUCCACGUGUAGCGGUGAAAUGCGUAGAGAUGUGGAGGAACACCAGUGGCGAAGGCGGCUCACUGGACCGGAACUGACGCUGAGGCGCGAAAGCGUGGGGAGCAAACAGG
RNAcentral lists this ribosomal RNA (253 nucleotides) under uncultured bacterium. Its description in RNAcentral is "partial 16S ribosomal RNA". It matches the Rfam family "Bacterial small subunit ribosomal RNA", at positions 524 to 776 of the family's 1533-position model. The record is from RNAcentral.